UACGUAGGAGGCAAGCGUUGUCCGGAAUUACUGGGCGUAAAGCGCGUGUAGGCGGUCUGAAUAGUCUGCUGUGAAAGCGCCUGGCUUAACCGGGCGAGGUCGGCGGAGACUCUCAGACUGGAGGCCGGUAGAGGGGGGUGGAAUUCCCGGUGUAGUGGUGAAAUGCGUAGAGAUCGGGAGGAACACCUGUGGCGAAGGCGGCCCCCUGGGCCGCGCCUGACGCUGAGACGCGAAGGCUAGGGGAGCGAACGGG
This 253-nucleotide ribosomal RNA is filed under the name uncultured bacterium. Its description in RNAcentral is "partial 16S ribosomal RNA". It matches the Rfam family "Bacterial small subunit ribosomal RNA", at positions 524 to 776 of the family's 1533-position model. The record is from RNAcentral.